Molecule: long non-coding RNA, 329 nt
Organism: Carya illinoinensis
Lineage: Eukaryota; Viridiplantae; Streptophyta; Magnoliopsida; Fagales; Juglandaceae
Exons: 4
Source: RefSeq, a predicted model, not a curated record
CUCGAAGCACAUCUUGACGUUGUAAGCACAUCUCUUUGUGAACUCCGAAUCAAUUAGCAGAGUUGAUUUCUCGGAUGGGUUCGUUUUUGGAACAGCUUCUUCUGCUUACCAGUUUGAGGGGGCUGUGAAUGAAGGAAACAAGGGAGCUAGCAUAUGGGAUACUUUUGCUAGGCAACCCGAUAAGAAGAAUUUACCCUUACCCCUGCAUAUGGAAGAAUUUUAGAUUUCAGCAAUGCAAACGUGGCUGUAGAUCAGUAUCAUCGAUUCAAGCUUCCUCAAUUCCAUAUUCAACUUUCAAGAUGUGAAGAGCAUUGUAUUUUUUUUUUUUU